Molecule: long non-coding RNA, 1195 nt
Filed under: Mus musculus (house mouse)
Lineage: Eukaryota; Metazoa; Chordata; Mammalia; Rodentia; Muridae
Description: predicted gene, 71569
Source: RNAcentral
AGUCUCUCAUAGAAACUUCUGGCCUCUGGACACUGUGGGAGCAACUUUUCCUUUAUUAGACUGUCUCCUCUUUAACUGAAGAUACUUUAGCACAGCAAGCAUCUCUUUUAUGCUUACAUUAUGCAGUUAUGCAGACUUGGUGAGAUAGACCAGUGCAAUGGACCUCAUAACCACAUACAAUCUAGUUUUAUGGGGAAACUCCUUGUAUAAAAGAAUAUUGCAGCAUGACUGGGAAGCCUGUCCUUCAUUACUUCAAUUGAAGAAGAAGAAUGGAGUCCAUCCGGUGGCUCCUGGCAGCAGCUGGAGUAGAGUUUGAGGAAGAACUUUUUGAAACCCAUGAAGAGUUUGAGAAGUUAAUCCAAGGUGGAACCCUGAUGUACGAGCAAGUGCCCAUGGUGGAAAUCGAUGGAAUGACUUUGGUGCAGACCAGUGCCAUCUUAAGAUAUGUAGCUGCAAAAUAUGACUUGUAUGGAAGGAACCUGGAGGAACAAGCCUGAAGAGAAGGAGAUGAACCUUGAAUACAUCCUCCACCGAGCUACAACAAGAUUCUUCCCCGUUUAUGAGAAGGCCCUGAGAGACCACGGGCAAGACUUUCUUGUGGGCAAUCGGCUGAGCUUGGCUGAUGUCCAGCUCCUUGAAGUCAUCUUAAUGGCUGAAGAAUGCAAAGCCAGUGUUCUCUCGGGUUUCCCUCUGCUACAGGACUUCAAGGUGAGAACCAGCCAAAUUCCUACAAUUAACAGCUUCCUCCAACCUGGAAGCCAGAGGAAGCCUCCUUUGGAGGAGCGAUCCAUUGGGACUGCAAAGGACAUAUUCAAAUUUGAAUGAGGACUGUUUCUUAAAAACAUGAGCAAUAUAGUAGCUGAGUAUUAACAGCUACAGAGGCUGGAGUUACUCAGUAAGUAUACUGAGUAACUUGACACUGCAUUCAUAAAAAGACACUCACUAAGUAUAUGGCCAGAGAAAUAUCCUGAAGUUAGUAAUAAAUGUUAGGAAUCUUAGUAUGUUAGCAAUGUUAGAAUGUUAGUAAUGGAAAUAUUAAAUGUGUAAGAGAAAAACUACUAGAAGCUUAUCAAUAAACUACAAGAACCAACUCUUGUUUGAAGUAAGACAGGCUACCAAGACAGAAUUCAGAAAAUCCAAGGAGCCCUCGGCCUUCUGUAUGAUCCUAGAAUAAACUUGUAUGUAGCAAGUGAAA